GUAGGGGGCAAGCGUUAUCCGGAUUUACUGGGUGUAAAGGGAGCGCAGGCGGCGCGGUAAGUCUGAUGUGAAAGCACGGGGCUCAACCCCGGGACUGCAUUGGAAACUGUCGUGCUGGAGUGUCGGAGGGGCAAGUGGAAUUCCUAGUGUAGCGGUGAAAUGCGUAGAUAUUAGGAGGAACACCAGUGGCGAAGGCGGCUUGCUGGACGACAACUGACGCUGAGGCUCGAAAGCGUGGGGAGCAAA
This 246-nucleotide ribosomal RNA is filed under the name uncultured bacterium. RNAcentral's name for it is "partial 16S ribosomal RNA". It matches the Rfam family "Bacterial small subunit ribosomal RNA", at positions 527 to 772 of the family's 1533-position model. The record is from RNAcentral.